Molecule: ribosomal RNA, 443 nt
Filed under: uncultured bacterium
Lineage: Bacteria
Description: partial 16S ribosomal RNA
Rfam family: Bacterial small subunit ribosomal RNA
Source: RNAcentral
CCUACGGGAGGCUGCAGUGGGGAAUAUUGGGCAAUGGGCGCAAGCCUGACCCAGCAACGCCGCGUGAAGGAAGAAGGCUUUCUGGUUGUAAACUUCUUUUCUUAGGGACGAAGAAAGUGACGGUACCUCAGGAAUAAGCCACCGCUAACUACGUGCCAGCAGCCGCUGUAAUACGUAGGUGGCAAUCGUUAUCCGGAUUUAUUGGGUGUAAAGGGCGUGUAGGCGGGAAAGCAAGUCAGAUGUGAAAUCUCAGGGCUCAACCCUGAGCCUGCAUUUGAAACUGUUUUUCUUGAGUGCUGGUGAGGCAAUCGGAAUUCCGGGUGUAGCGGUGAAAUGCGUAGAUAUACGGAGGAACACCAGUGGCGAAGGCGGAUUGCUGGACAGUAACUGACGCUGAGGCGCGAAAGCGUGGGGAGCAAACAGGAUUAGAUACCCGGGUAGUC